This 4421-nucleotide long non-coding RNA is filed under the name Bemisia tabaci. Its description in RNAcentral is "lncRNA ENSSSA3NGG013788". Lineage: Eukaryota; Metazoa; Arthropoda; Insecta; Hemiptera; Aleyrodidae. The record is from RNAcentral.
AACUGUUUUAAUGAAAUGCAUGUUUCAGAGAGUUUAACUAACUUUUGGAUUCAAUGAUUUAACGAUUCCGCAACUUAUUGAACAUCGUAAUACAAUUCAACAAAUCAAAGACAGACCGUAUGAAUCAGCAAAGAUAGUAGAAUUAAUUUUUAAAAUAUCAAUUUGAAGGGCUCUUUGGGUAAAUCAGUGGCAUUUGAUCAAUUGAGUUAAACGAUCGUUUUUUUUUCAUUGCCUUAGGCAGCUUCAAAUACCGGCGAAAAACUACGCAAAUAUACCACCUUCAAAGAUGCCACUAAGACGCGCGAAUUCACAGACAAAUCCAUGCUGAUCAAGUUCAUUCUGGAUAACCACUGGCACAUCUACAUCGAGGCGCCUCCUGGUUUCGGCAGAACCACGAACCUGCGGAUGCUCCGGGAGUUCUUCUCCGUGGAGGUCGACUCAGACGGAUUCUUUGUCAACGCGAAAAAGAUACUACAGAGUGACGAAGCCUUCCAGGAUAUUUUACGGAGACGUAAAAGAACAUCUGCGGAACAUUCUCGGAACACCUCAACAGAACGUGUAUCUUUCGAAACUGCCACCGAAAGCAUAUCUGUCCUCGUGAAUGACCCGGAGUCUUUGAGCGCCUCCACAAACGCUUUGACAAACUACGAUACCUUCUCGAAGCCGCCCCUAAGAAUACUGAAAGAAUCACCGGAGUUGUUCGAGACCCACUUCGCUCGGCAUCCUGUCCUCUUCAUCGAUUUGGAAAACUAUCGACGAAGUCCUACGACGACUUCGUACGCACUUUUCAAAUAAUGGUCUCGAAGCUCUUCGAUCAAUCUAAAUACUUACUAAAAAGUCACAGGCUGACCAAGGGCAAUAAGGAUGAAUAUUUACGCUUUCGUGACCAAGUUAUGAAACUGGGCUUAAACGAGGUCGCGCACGGAGGAGAGAAAUUGAGUCAACUCUUGUCAGCACAUCAUCACCGAAAAGCGAUAGUUUUAGUGGACAACUUUGACGCACCCAUUUGUAAGGCCCUCUUGGCGCCACAUCUUGACCUAAAAAGCUACAGGGGGAUUGUGUGGAGUAUUUCCCGGAUGAUCAAAGGACUAGUAAAAAGUAGGUUCGUCCAUCGGACCGUGGUGACAGGCAGUCUCCGAAUCGAAAUUACAGAUGGAUUGAUGCAUUUUCCCAUCUUUGAUGACAAAUCUUUACAUCGGUAUUACGGGCUCACUGAUUAUGAUGUUUUAGAACUUGCUAAACGCUCUGGACAGACGAAUAUCGCAAACAUCAGGAAGUGGUAUGGUGGCUACAAAACAGCAAGCAAAGGUCGUGAUAUCUACAACACACGCUCAACAAUGAGCUACUUCAAGACAGGUGUGCUUAAGCCUUACCGAUUUGAGUCCAUCAAAUUCAAAUCCUUAAAAACCCUUCUAGAUUUUAAAAAAUUAGGUCGAGACGUGGAAGAUGCUUUCGAAGAUAAAACGCGGCUCCUCAUCCGACCGAAUAUUCUGCAGAGUCUUUUCGACCUACUGAGACGAACGAUAUUUUCCUCGAAUCAAACCGUCCUUCAUAGGAGUCUGGUCCUACAGAUUCUCCUCGACUAUGGCUUUUAUACCAUUCAAGAUGGAAAUACACUCCACGUGCCGAACUUCGAAGCAACGCUGAACAUAAAAAACUUAAUAUUCGACCGUGGAUACUACAUCAACAAACUAAACAUCCCUGACCAGAUUAUUGACAACUUUGUGCAGAACAUCGAACGCCUGACUGAAGAGAAAACGUCUUUUGACAACUUUUUUGCAGCGGUCACAGAACUCUUCAAAAACCGCGUGCCACAAGGUACACGAGAAUUGGCGCACACCUUGGUCACUUUAGUGGCUGAUGCUCGCAAGUUUAGCUUGUUACGUAGUCAAGAAACUCCGGAAAAUGACCGGCAGGAUAUCCUAGUGAAGCUAUCUUCGGAAACGGGAAUUGUGAUCGGGGUCCUGGUUGGGUCGAUUAAUGCAGAAGCGCUAAAACCUGUUUUUAACAAGAGUUUACAAGUGUUUCCAGACUGUAAAUUGAGAGUUGCCAUCUUGUUAGGUUUAAAACCGCAAGGAGCGACCGGAGAUCUGGACAUUUUGUACGCAUUUGACAAUCGAACUGUUACAAUGGACACAAAAAAUCAGUGAGAGGCAACGCCCUACUCCGCCUCGGUCUAUAAUUUUUUGAAUAAUGUAAGUGGCAACGUCGCAGUAAUCAGCGCGGUAGAAAUUGAUUUUGGGAGGUAGUAAACACUUGGCCCGUAGACAUGGCUUCAAACUUUGUGAAAAUAAAAAGCUCAAUGUCCUGAGGAGAUUUUUAAGAACACCUGGAUUUUGAUUAGCACGGCGGCUACAUCAGAGACCCUCAAAAAACUAAAACAUCACAGAAAAAGAAAACAAUAGUGACGAAAAUCGCUCUGGUGAUGGAAGUUAAAAUGCUUUCUUGAAAUUCAUUGCUCUGGGACUUACAAGCUUUGAAUCAAUUCAAAUCUCACGCAAGGAGAGUUUGUAACAGUUAGCGAGAUUGUUUGUUCAUUUAGGUCAGGUCUCUCUCCGGGCAAACCUGACUGCCGGCCAACAUGAAAAACUGCCCGCAUACGCGGUAAACUUGAAAAAGGGUGUUACAAACUACGCAAAUUGCGCGCGGAGUGGAUUUCAGACUUUUUUGAUAUGCCCAUCGUGAUUUUCGAGUGAAUUUACCCGAAAGUGUAAUCAAUCAGUUGGCUAUAUCUCUCGCAACAGACCCAUUUGAGAGGGAAGGGCGCACAAAUCGUUUUGUAUAAUUUUUGAGGAGUGUAGAUCUGUGUUUCCGGUGCGUUACAACGAGGCGGGAAUGCAAUGAAGACUGCAAUGAAAAUUAGAAUCUAAGAAGCGCCUUCAAAUGAAUGAGUAUACAUCAUAGCACAUCUAUCAAGAUGGUGGUAAAAUGCGUCAAAGUUCUUACAAUCGAAACUCGCGUUUAAGGUGAAUCUACAUGCGGUGCGUAGUGAGACAUUUUUCCGCGCAGGGAGCGCCACCGCUGGGUUUUGAUUUUUGGUCCUCGUAAUUAGAUGCCGUACAGCUCCACGUAAGUCCUUGAGCUUUUAUGAAAGUUAAAGGAAUUUCUGUUAAAAUCGAAGAGUCAUCAGUUCUAGCUAUAACAUUCUUCUUCCUAUUGACACUAUAAAAGACGUGAAAGUAAUAUCUGAAGCUCUGAAACUUAAUCCCAGAAGAAAGUAGGGUUAAGCAUGAUGACCUUGAUGCAACUAAUCACUAUGCAUGAGAUGACUCUCAGCAGUUGCAGAUCUCUCUCUCCCACCGUGAGCUAUCUCUCUCGCACUUACAGAUAUCCCAUAAGAGAAACUGGGAUCAAGUUAUAGCUUUUAAUAUUGAACUUUCAAAGCUCGCGUUUGUUUCUAAGCAUUCCAAAACUAUGCUGCUAGAACUUAUGAGUCUUAGAAUUUAAUAUAUCUAUUGUGAUAUUAAAAUAAUCACUGAUUUCGGAGCCGGAUUUUAGCAGCGCGACGUGGUGAAUUUUUCCGGAAAUACAGCUGAGGAUUAACCUUAAUGAGGCCUUAUUGGUUUCGGACCAUAGAAAAAUUCGUGCAUGAGUUUAUGUUAGUUUGUUUGGUUUGAGCUAAGAGUUCUAUAUUACAUCGAGUGACGUAGUCACAAAAUCAUUCUAUUGAAGGAAUUGCAAACAAGCCGAAUUUAGUAUGGUGUCGGCCUAGGAAUGUUAUAAUCCUUACUGUCACGAAAAUUCAUUUUUUAUCGAAAAUUAUUUAGAUCAGCAUCUGGUAAAAUUUGAAUAAUUUGGGACAAAAUCUUGAUUUCUUGAUUCCCUCUAAGGCCUUGGCUCCACGGGACGUUUCAUGGAAUCUGUCACGGGGGAAAAUCUCACUUGUGAAGUUGGGAAAAACAUUGGGCUAUUCAAUACUAAUCAUAGUACCAACUAAGAGUCCUUGUGGAGUCCCAGGAACGACUUAAAAAGAAGAAGAAGAAAUUUUGAUGUGUUGUUUAACGGCAAAAAAGCCCAAAAGUUUCAUUCCUGCGCCUCGAACUUGGGAAACAUCCCGUGAAACAUCCCGUGGAGACAAGGCCUAAGAAUUCAUGUGGCAAGAAGACUGGAACUAGAACGGUUAAGGUUUUGUUAUUAUCACCGCUGUUUAUCUAAAUUGAUAGGUAAUGAGGUUAAACACUGGUUGAAUGGGUGAGAUUGCAGUAAACAACAGAGUUCAGUGGCCUCGUGAAAGUUUUGUCUUGUGACGAGUGUUUGUUCUUCUAAGAUCAAUUUAAAAACCGACGGAUUUUUCCAAGAUAGGAAACUUCGCGAAAAAGCUAAACAACCUUUUUGUGAGUGAUGCUCGAGUUGCGAUGAAAUCGUUCAGUCAGUUCCAAGGAUCAGAUGCAAAACAAGAGACUUUUACUGAAGGGAUUAGA